RNAcentral lists this ribosomal RNA (253 nucleotides) under uncultured bacterium. RNAcentral describes it as "partial 16S ribosomal RNA". It matches the Rfam family "Bacterial small subunit ribosomal RNA", at positions 524 to 776 of the family's 1533-position model. The record is from RNAcentral.
UACGAAGGGUGCAAGCGUUACUCGGAAUUACUGGGCGUAAAGCGUGCGUAGGUGGUGAGUUAAGUCUGUCGUGAAAGCCCCGGGCUCAACCUGGGAAUGGCGAUGGAUACUGGCUCGCUAGAGUGCGGUAGAGGAGAGUGGAAUUCCCGGUGUAGCAGUGAAAUGCGUAGAGAUCGGGAGGAACAUCAGUCGCGAAGGCGGCUCUCUGGACCAGCACUGACACUGAGGCACGAAAGCGUGGGGAGCAAACAGG